UACGUAGGGUGCGAGCGUUAAUCGGAAUUACUGGGCGUAAAGCGUGCGCAGGCGGUUCGCUAAGACAGAUGUGAAAUCCCCGGGCUCAACCAGGGAAGUGCGUUUGUGACUGGCGGGCUGGAGUGCGGAAGAGGGGGGUGGAAUUCCACGUGUAGCAGUGAAAUUCGUAGAGAUGUGGAGGAACACCGAUGGCGAAGGCAGCCUCCUGGUCUAGCACUGACGCUCAUGCACGAAAGCGUGGGGAGCAAACAGG
Molecule: ribosomal RNA, 253 nt
Filed under: uncultured bacterium
Lineage: Bacteria
Description: partial 16S ribosomal RNA
Rfam family: Bacterial small subunit ribosomal RNA
Source: RNAcentral